Molecule: long non-coding RNA, 3799 nt
Organism: Gasterosteus aculeatus aculeatus (three-spined stickleback)
Lineage: Eukaryota; Metazoa; Chordata; Actinopteri; Perciformes; Gasterosteidae
Source: Ensembl
AUCCCGUCAGCAUGGCGUCGGGCUUCAUCGGAGCGCGAGAGGGGGUCUGUUUCUGUCUUUGGUUAUCUAGCUGUAUGAGUUUUAAAUGCCUGUCAUAAAGCUAGAUAACCGAAAGUAGAAAUGACUCCCGGAACGUUGUGUUCAUCCCCGAAAGACGCGGGACUCCUCGAGCUUCCAACUGGGAAAAAGGUGAGGAAAUCGUUUUGCUUUGUGUGUGUGUGUUUUUUUAAGUUUGAUAAAAUAUAAAAUGAAACAAUUAGCAUUAAAUAAUCCCAAAUUGAUACAAAACUUGUGUAUAUUACAUUCGCUUUUAUAAAUAGCUUCAUCAGUUAAUUUUUCUAUAUUCUUUUUCUUUUUUUAAUAAGUAUACACACAUUUCCAGAGCUUUUUGCAGAACAAAAUGUUUAGCUUCAGCAAUAUCAGUCAUGUUGGUCUGAAGAAAACAAAAAUACCGUUGAGAAAUUUGAAGAAAAAAAAGUUAUCCCAGGAUGUCAUUAAUGGCUUUAGAGUAGUAGACGUUGUUUGUUUGUCUUUCUAUCUCAAUCCACUUUAUUUUAAGGAUUCAGUACAUGAGGUCCUUGUACAAAGGGGCCCUCAGUGUUUGCUGUCCAUUCAGGCCCUCUGCAACGUGGUGCUGCAUGUUAAACGGGUCGCUCCGCUGGAGGGGAACAGCACGGACCCCGACCGUUUUGUUUUCAUCCCGUGGAAGAAGAAGAUCAAAUUGAAUAAUGCAUGCACAGAGUUCAUAUUACGUCAUAGUGUGUCUUUUUUCUCACAGGAGACAUUUAACUUGUCACAGAGGGGGAAGCACAGGUGUCACCAGUAACACUUAACAGAGGCUCUGUUCUAUUUCCAUGUAAGUCACGACAAUGUGACCGUGAGCCGUCGUGCAGCUAAAUCGGCCAUCUUUAAUUGGGCCACGGGGACAUGUGUCUUCUGGCGGUGGGGGGUUCCUGCUCACCUGUAGUAAGUUAAAAAAACAAAAACAAACAGGACUUCAGGACUUCUCUCUGGGACCCCUGGGGGCUCCUCUCUGUCCUGCCAUCCAUUUUUUUUUUACUAUCUUUUGGAUUUAUACUUCGCAUUUAACGUGGUAUUUAUUACUUUAAUCGUUUGGAAGACUCAUUUCUGUUUAUUCUAUAUUUAAAUCUCACCUGUGCGACGUUGCUUGUAGAAGAAAGAAAAGGGACGCCACCGCUUUGUCCGUGCGGCACUAAUGUCUCCGCCUGUUAACGCAGUCAAGUGCUGGAGCAACCUACACACACACACACACACACACACACACACACACACACACACACACACACACAGGGAUAAAAAAGACACUUGGCGUCUGCAUUUAAAGCUGUAGCUAAUCUCAAGGCCUUUGGGACACAUUGUGUCGUGGCUGAAUGAGACGGGCCAGGGCCGUCCUGCAGACAGGAUCUGAGUUUUUGAACUUGGCACUUCAGUGCGGCGCACAUACGCUCGGCCCGCAGAAUGCCACCAAAAGCCUAAAUGGCACCAAAGUGAGAUGAGUUUUCAUUCACCCUCUCAACCUAUCGCAGCAGAGCUCGCCGUCGAACCGGGCAAAUUGCUUCGCUUCACAGCGAUUUAUGUGAAAAAAGCCGUCAGUCCAAGUCUCUGCCCGAGCUUCCCGCUGUCGGGGCGUGCCAGCACGCCGCCGUUCCUCAGUGAAGAGGAGUAACAACACUUGAGGCCUUAUUUAUGGGAUAGUCAGGGCGUUCCUGUUGCAACCUGCAUUGUUUUUUGUGCUUUGACUUUAAGCAAAAACACACACUCAUGCACGCACAAAAACUUAACAAGGGGACUGGCCGUUAAUGGAGAAAAGCUGGCAGAGAUUUAAAGGUUUUUAAUAACUUUACAAGCACAUCUCAGUGCAAAUGUGAAGCGUUACAGGUCUAAAGAAAGCAAAGUUACUAUUUAGCCUGUGUUUAGCUAUGCUGAUGACUGAAAGUGCAAAUGUGUUUCUCCUGUUUCACUCCUUGGUUUUCUCCCUUCCGUCCGCUCUCUUUUUACAGGCUUCCAAUAUACGACAUUGAAUGAUCGUGGAUCCCUGAAAAGAGGCUCGAGCCAUCGUUGAAAGAAAAGGAAGCGAGAGCUGAGGGGAAAACGGUCGGUCCGGAAUUGCUACCUCCUCCUCCUCCUCCACCCCCAUUAGUCGUCCUUUUUGCCCAAGAGCCUCUAAUGCCAUCUGUGCUGCCAACGGGGGUUGGAGGGGAGGGGGCGGAUUCUGCCCGUGCCAGGACGCGGACAAAGACCCUUCCGGAUCCCCGGAGCACGGGCACGCUCAGAGGAGCCAUCUUGGGGAGAUGUUGCCGCGACACCUAAAAUGGCAGGCUGGCACACCGAGGUGAAUUCUGUAGAGGAGGCGACACUGAGAUAAUAACUAUUUGGGACGGGGAACAGGAUCGGCCUCUCUGCGCUCUGAAGGAACCUGCUUGGGCGCGAGGACAUGGACCAAACUCAACGAAAUACUGUCUUCAGAAAGUCUCAACAGAGAUCAUCAGUCACCUAAACGAGGAGAGCAGCCCUGUGUGGCAAAGGACAUGUAGAAAGAAAAGAGCUACUGUACAAGCUGGAAAUGUGCCUGUUAUCCAUGUUCAUGAUAUUGUAUUAAUGUGUGUGAUACAUAUACAUUAUUUUAAAAAUUGCAGAAAACUUGUUCUCACCGAUAUAUCUAAAGUGCAUCUACAUGUUUUAAUUAAUAAUUUAUGAAACUGCUGUUCUCAUAUGUCUGAAUUGAAAUAGGAAUUUAUAAGACUGGAGUGCAUUACUGAAAAAGCUGAUUGUAUUUCUUCUUUGAAUUAAAUCGAUAAUGAAAAUAUUUUCAUCUCUGUGUUACAAUCGUGCUUUUGAGCAAUUAUUUCAGUGAUAAAUUAGGAAGGGAAACAAUAAAUUAUUACAAUGCGGACAUCCUAAAGAAUGUGUUUUCAUGUUGAAUGUUUUCAACAGCACUUUGUCUUUAAUCUUCAAUAAAAAAAUGAACAAGGAUCGAUCUAAAACAGACAGUAUACGGAGUCAAGCCGGCUGGACCUUUUCUCUGCCGGCUUUCUGUUUUUAGAUUCAAAUGGUAAUUUCUGUGAGGAUCGUGCGAGGCGGUCUUUGAGUGACCCCACAUUAAGGUUUAAUUAGGAGGAGCAGACGGGGGGUUGUGUGUUGAUCAGUGUGGGAAAAGAGAAAUUCACUGCCUGAACUGUCUACACUGCGGAAAUAGACAUUCACUCUGUUCAUAUCGGCUGCGAAAAAUGAUACGGCUAAAUAACAGGAGUGUUAUAUUUGGAAAGGUUUCUUUUUACUGCUCAGCAGGCACGAUGUAUCGGGGAUUACAGGCAGUCAAACAACAGAUGCUCCUGCUUCUUAUGAGAGAUUAUCUCUGUCUCUAGGACACAAAUUAUUUCCUCUCCAUUGAAAUGAUGCCUUAUCUUAGAUUCAGAGGUUUGAUGUUCCUUUUUCAACAAUUUAACAAUUUAACUGGGAUUUCUUAUUUAAUAUAUGUCAUUUUAUUCAAUGUGUGAAAAUGUAUUUUAAUUUGUUUUAAAAUAUCUUACUAAAGUUUACAACAAACUUUAAAAUGUUAAAUAAAGAAUAAAAAGCAUUGCUGUCACAGAUUGCACAAGAGCUGUUGCAUUAAGAAAGACAAAAAGCUAGACUAUUACUACUAUAUUUGUAGACCAAAGAGAGGAUCUACAAACCAAAAUAACGGUGAACUAUUGAAUACAAUAAACUGUAAAAGAGACAAAAAUAGUCACAAACCCAGUGAGGACACAUGGGAGUUGUAUGAAAGAACUGAGGGGGG